CGAUAAUCAGCUGGCCAGUCUGUUCCGACGUACAUUUGAAACCGAAGACCCUGGAUAACUUUCAGAAGUCUCUGACAUGGCAGUGUAACAGAGGAGCUUUUCCUGUUCGAGACAAGCUCAGAAGGCCCUCCGACAUGUCCAAGAUGCGAGCAGGAUAGGGAAACCGUCCCGCAUGCUAUUGUUCAAUGUUUGGAGGUGUGGGUUUAUGCCGAACAACUGUUGUCAAGUACACGAAGAGUACAGCCGUCGACUGAGUCUAUUGUAAAAACUGACUUACCGGAUUUCCUCUCGAAAGAAGGUAAGAAUUGUUUUCUCGAUGUAGUUGCAAUCGCGAGUGAGGUGAUUUGGAAGACGAGGCUGAAAGGUAUAGAGUCAGGCAAUUUCAUCUCUGGCCCUGGAUUGAUGAAUUACUUCAUCUUCUACCUGAAAAGGAAAAUAGGGCUGGAGAGAAAAUACCUGACUGAGAAAGUGUUUGAAAAUCGAUGGAAGAGUGUAGCACGGAUGUUGCGUGUGGCUGGAAUCGCAUGAAUGCAAAAGAGGACGAAACCCACGUAUCAGUGGCGAGGCGGGGCUCGUGGGGUCCGAAUUAACCCCCCCCCUCACUCCAUCCGUAAUGUCUUCCGGUCUGUCCCAUCAUUCGAUUUUUCCUAUUUUAUUGUAUUUUGUAAUUAAAUGUAAAUUUUUAAUUUCAUCCUCUGUGUAAAAUCAUUCGUUAAUCUGGCCCCAAAUCAGGUUGUAUUGUCCCCUCUUUGUUCGCUCCUUGUGGGUAAUAAAAAACAGUUCUAUGUAGGCAAUUUUGUAUCUCUUCUGUUAUUUAAUCUACCAGCAAUUAUGUGUCAGAUGUUAUUUUGCUCGCAUUUGAGGCAGUUAACUUCUAUCUCAGCCAAGCUUCAAUAGAAUUUUCACCAGUAAAUGUGAAUCCGUUUAACUGACUUUUGUUUGUAAGUUGUCCAUUUAUCUGUUGCAUUUAUUUAACUUCACAACACAGAUGAUAAUAAUAAUGAAAUUAUUGUAUACAAUGCUCGGGUGCACCACAACAUGAUCUCUCUGACAUGAAAACUUGAAAACGUCUCUGUUCGUUCUCACAUUUUACUACAUAAUCCUUCCAGUGACUUUCCAAUCUACGUUUUCUCAAGCACAUUUGUGCUUUGAUGUUGCAAAUUAGUAUCUAGAAUUUUCCAAGUUUGAAUUCUUUAAUAUGCACUCGCAAACCGUAUGUUGCAGAAUUACUUGGGUGGAGGUACUUUUUUUUUUUUUUACCUAAUGAGAUAUGUUGAGAUAAUUUUUCCUACAACUAUUUAGAAAAUUAUGGAACACUUAUAUACAACAGAAAUUUUGUUGUUGUGUUUAUGAACCUUUAAAUUUUCUAUGACAAUUUUUGUUGUAAUCAUUUUAGAGUGCAUUCUUAUAGCUAAUGGCAUUUAUAAGAUGAACUAGAGAAAUUCAGACUUCGUCUAUUACAUCUGAACUAUUAAACAAAAGCCCAAGGAGUUCAUGGCUAUAAAAUUAUUUAUAAAAAAAAGAUUAGGCUUGUCAGCAGAUAUGUAGAAAAACAUGAUUACUUGUAUGAAGUAAAGAAGUAGAAAUUCUUACAAAAAAAAGGUGAAAGGCUAAAUCAUUUUGAUAUUUUAGAGAAUGAGAAACUAAAAAUAGAAUAGACGAUUAUAAUUUAAAAAAAAGCUACUUUAAAGGAAUUAUUAAAAUAUUUAGAUUAAACCUUAAUGUGAGUAAUACAAUACAGGAAGAUUUAAUUGAGUUGAAUAAUACAAAUCUAGAAAUAGUUAAGAAUAGGUGAGAAAUGCUCACAAUCUACAAGAGAGAAGGCAUAUCUUUUAUCCUGAAGAAAAAAAGAUAGAAAUCAAAGAUUGCAAAGUUGUUUAAGACAUUAGGCAUAACACAGAAGAAAUUCUAUUUAAAAGAAUUCUUUUCAGGAGAAAUAAUGGAAGAAAAUACAUUAUCAAUGGAUAUCUCAAAAACAUGAAAGAACAUUGCAAAAUUAGUUAUGAAAACAUGUAUCUGCCUUCCAUAUUCCUUAAAGACACAAGUUAAAAAGAAGAAGAAGAUAAUAAUAAAGAAAAAAAGGAUUGGUUGCUUUUAAAGAAUAAUUACCUGUAAAAAAAGUGUAGGGAAAUGCAAGCGAGCAGCAAGCGAAAUAUGGGUUGGUAGGAAAGUGAUAAGAAAAAUCGAUAUACACGAGGAAAGUAGUAGCAAGGUGUUAAACGUGUUGUAGGCAUAUUGAAAUGCAGUCACUUAGUAUCUAAGAUCCAAACAAGUUGCGCAAAAAUACAAAUAAAUAAAAACAGGAAUUAGAAGAUUGCUGUAAUUUUUCUAUUCUGUAAUACAUGCAUGCAUACAUACAUACAUACAUACAUACAUACAUACAUACAUACAUACAUGCAUACAUACACACACACACACAUACUUACACAUACAUACAUAUAUACAUGUAUGUAUGCAUACAUACAUACAUAUACAUACAUAUAUAUACAUACAUACAUAUACAUAUAUAUACAUACAUACAUAUACAUAUAUAUACAUACAUACAUAUACAUAUAUAUACAUACAUACAUAUACAUAUAUAUACAUACAUACAUAUACAUAUAUAUACAUACAUACAUAUACAUAUAUAUACAUACAUACAUAUAUAUACAUACAUACAUAUAUAUACAUACAUACAUAUAUAUACAUACAUACAUAUAUAUACAUACAUAUAUAUAUAUAUAUAUAUAUAUAUAUAUAUAUAUAUGCAUGAGCAGAUAGAGAGAGAGGGAGAGAGAGAAUGAUUGAUUGCUUUUUUUUGUUCUCUGAAUUAAAUAAGGAAAACUAAGAAAAUAGACCAUAAUACAAUCUUUCAGGUAAUGAGGAAAUCUGUUAUGGCACUAACAUUUUCUGCUUCAUUAAUUCAACGAUGUGAAGAAAUCUAAAAGAAUAAACUGAACAUUUAACUGAAAUUAAAUUUAAAAUUGUGAAACAAAGAAUGAAACAUGAUAAAACAUUUGAUAAACAUAAUAAACAAUUGAAAAUUAUUAAAUUGAAUCAGCUUCAGAAUAUUGUCUUCCCAAAGUACAUUACUAAUUCCGACAAAAAAAAAUAUAGAAGACAUUUUAAAAUUAUCUCCCCUGUAUCUCUUGACUAGAAUUAGUUAUUUAGCUAAUGAUUUUUCUCUUUACUACGAAUGCAAUUUUAACUUAUUAUUUUGGUAUGAAAGAAUUUUUUUAAAUAGAAUUUCUUCUGUGUUAUGCAGUACUCCAACUUUGCAAUCUUUGAUUUCCAUCUGUUUUCUUCUUUUUCCUUCAAGGUAAAAGGUAAAAUUUCUUGGAUCAAUGUAUUAAGUAUACUGGCAUCAACUUUACCAUUUGUGAUUCAUGCAGCAGGCAUCCCUACAUUUUUCUCUCUAACCAUUCACAGUAUCACGCCUGUCAGUGUCCAGUCACUAAAACUAUGUGUCUAUAUAUGCAUGUGUGUGUGUGUGUGUGUGUGUGUGUGUGUGUGUGUGUGUGUGUGUGUGUGUGUGUGUGUGCUUUAUAAGCAUACUGUGUUAGAAAGAGAAACAAUAUACUUUAGAGUUAGGCGAAAUGAAAUUGCCCAGAAAUGACCACAGGAAUGACACAUACGUAUUUCGUUGUUUUUUGUGGUUUAUCAAUAUCAAGUACUCGUGCCACUUCCAAAAUGAAAUUGAAUCAUCAAGAUUGAAGUGUGUAGAAAUAGUAUAUAAAUUAUACACUAGUUUACAAAGGCAAACAUUUCAGCUUUAUAGAUAUUCAUAUAUAUAUAUAUAUAUAUAUAUAUAUAUAUAUAUAUAUAUAUUGAUAUUUGGCAGAAGUAAGGCAGCAAGCUAAUAGAUACUUUUCUGCUCCAGGUAAAAUGCUUAGCGCCAUUUCAUCUGUCUUUAUGUUCUAAGUUCAAAUUCCGUUGAGGUCAGCUUUGCCUUUCAUCCCUUUCUGGCCCGAUAAUACAAAGUACCAGUUAAGUGCUGGCAUCAAUGUAAUUGACUUAUCUCCUCCCUCAAAAUUGCUGACCUUGUGUCAAACUUUGAAAUCAAUAUUUAGCAGAAGUAACAGAUUGACUCAAGCACCGAAAGUGGAUGUAUUCCAUCUCAAUCACUAAUUUGUUAAUUAAUUUUUUUUUUUAUCUAAACAGUUUGAAACUUGGAAUACUGGUGGAAUUUAUCACGUAGAACACUGUUUACUUUGGACGUUUUUAUUUCGUGUUAAAGUGUAUUCAGUUGAAGAAAGUUACUACUGUUUGCGAUAGUAAUCAAAGAGGAACAACUUCUGGGUCAUCUCUACUAAAUGUCACCACUCUGUUCGAAGAAUCAACACCAUAGUGCAACAGGUCCUCAGCUAACUUUUUGGUUGUUGAUGUAUAUGUAGUUUUAAAAUGCUUUAUUUUACAACUAUGGGACGUACUGUUAUUGUCAUGAUUUUAUCUAUAUAUAUAUAUAUAUAUAUAUAUAUAUAUAUAUAUAUAUAUAUAUAUAUAUAUAUAUAUAUAUAUAUAUAACAGCAACAAACACAUUUCGUCAAUAUAAAAGUCUUUAUUAGAUAAAAAAUUAACACUAUCAAAACAUGAAGGUAAAACAAAACAAAUAGUGGCUUAUACACCGGAAAAUAUUGCAAUUAUGGUGGCAAUAACAAGUUCGCUCGCUGGUUGCUAGUUGAUAGUGUAGAAGGGAAGGAAAGAGUAAGGAAUGCACGGUGCUGACUAGAAAGGAAGAAAGGAUAAAGAUGGUUCAAUUGCCAUACGAAUAGAACAGAGUGGUGACAUUUAUUAGAGAUGACCCAGAAGUUGUUCCUCUUCAAUUAUUAUCACAAACAGUAGUAACUUUCUUCAACCAAAUACACAUUGUUGAUUGGUUGAAAUUACCCAAAUACGACAACUUUAACACGAAAUAACUUCUAAAAUACGAAAUGUUGUCAAAAACGUUCAGAGUAAACCGUGUUCUACGUGAGAAAUUCCAUCAGUAUUCAAAGUUUCAAACUGUUUAGUUAAAAAAAUUAAUUAAAAAAUCUGUGAUUGAGAUGGAAAUAGAUCCCCAAAAGUUCCAUGCAUUAGCAUUUACCAAAUAUUUAUAUAAAUUUUAGAUCAUAGAUGUUUAUUUAAAAAAGUGCAAGAAAUAUUUUUAUUUGUAAUCCAAAAUCAGAAUAGAACUGUGAAAAGUAUUUAGUCUGCCGAUCAAGUUGCAAUAUCUGUUUUUAUGGUUGUAAAUCACUUUCUAAUCACGGUCAUCUUGACAGUCUAGACAUCGGAUUGUUUUUACAGGUCGGUAAGAAUGCUUUAGAAUUAUCAGGCCUGACUUAAUUAUAGCAGUUUGCAAUUUUCAAACUCAGAUAAGCAUUGAUCUUUUUUUUUCUGUUUUGCCAAACUUUGUCUUUAAUAAAGUUUGUAAAAUAAGAUAUGAAAAAAUGAGUUCUGGCGUUUCGAGCAGGGCUUUUCUCCAAAGUAAUGGCGAGUGUUGGAGGAUCGUUAUUCUCAAAUCUCUGACCAAAUAUUUUGCAUGAAACAAAUUCUUUCUUAAGUCACACAUUUUGUUUUGCAAAUUUCAUAUUUUUAACUUUCUUGUCCAUGCAGUCCAUUACUAAUUUCCUGAGAGUCUAGUCAUUAUCAUUGUCAGCGGUACCGUCGUCGCCUCAACAAUGUUAUCAGAGGUGGUGAUGGUGUCAUCAGUGUUGACAAUGUCAGCAGUGGUAGCGUCCUCGUUGUCGACGGCGGCGACGUAUUCUUUGUUUCAACGGUAAUAAUCCUUUCUACUAUAGGCACAAGGCCUGGAAUUUUGGGGGACUGGUACUUAAUUUAUCGACCAUGAAAGGAUGAACGGCAAAGUCGACCUCAGCAGAAUUUGAACUCAGGACGUACAGGCAGAUGAAAUGCCGUUAAGCAUUUCGUCCAGCGUGCAAACGAUUCUGCCAGCUCGCCGCCUUGUUUCAACGGUGAUAAUUUUUUCUGCUUUAGAUACAAGGCCUGAAGUUUUGAGGGAAGGGUUCACUCAACUAGAUCAACCCCAGUACGCAACUGGUACUUAAUUUAUCGACCCCCAAAAGGAUGAAAGGCCGACUUUGUUGGAAUUUGAAUUCAGAACGUAAAGCCAGACGCAAUGUUGCUAAGCAUUUCGCCUGCCAUGCUAACGUUUCUGCCAGCUGGCCGUCUUUGUUUCAAUGGGGAAGCAACAAAUUCAAUAGUUUUUUUUGUUUUGAUUUUUGUAUUUUCUUUUUUAAUUUUAUUUCCUUAAUUUAAGAAACCCUAACUCCAUAUCCCAGCAAAAUCGACCAUACAAUGUCAUCCUUUCGACAUCGACAAAUUAUAUACCAGUCACGUAUUUGGAAUGUUUCAAUCAGCAACAAAUUCCUGGUACAGCUUAAAGUCAACUACUUUGGCACAGUAUUAUCUUUUAUUUUGUAGUGUAUUGUAUUAUAUCAUCGCGUAUUGUUAUCAUGAAUGGCUUUCAAACAAAAUAUUCAUUCUCAAUAUAUAACUCCAGGAAGACCUCGUACUGGUGUAAGAAAUCAAUAUAUAACUCUUGUAAGGUGGAGGGGAUGGGACAGUUUUGCAUAUUCUUCAAAGACGUUUGACAUUUUCAAAGGAAAUCGCCCUGGCAACCCUGGCUAACAACCUGGUACGUUGGAACUACACCAGCACAGUUUAAAUAUUCAGGUCUGUGAGCUUAUAUGUGAGAGAAUUGAAGAGGAAAUAAAAAGAGGGGGACAAAAACUCACGAGAAGAAAAACUAAAGCAAACAGUGGAUAUGUCAGACUCAUUUCCAACGAACUAGAGGCAGCAUUAUGGUAGCCCUCCUUUAUUAUUGCAGUAAAUCGCAAUAAAGAAUUGGUAAACUGUCCGAAACUCAGUUUCCUUUCGUAGUUGCACCUGCAACAGUCAGGUUGUCAUAGACUGGUAUAUUUGGUAAUUUGGAUAAUGCUACGAAAAGUUCCCUAGUUGAUAAUGUCAGGAUACCUGGAAAUAAAUUAAAAGAAGGAACGGUUCAUACUUCUAACUUUUAAACCGUUAUGAAGUUUAUCACAACUGCGACGAGUUGGAAUAAAAAUAAAAACAAUUAGUCUCUUUGAUAAUCCCUCGUCAUUGUUUUUAUAGAAGGCUUUCUAUUAAGUUGUGUGGGGAGAAAAUGAUAAUGAACUAGGGCUCGCCAUUGAUGGCAAGAUGAAAAGUAGAGAGAGGUUUGCUCUCUGAAAGUUGCCGAGCGAGGGGAGAGAGAAUGGGGAGGUAAACUCUCUGACAAAUACUGAGUAAAGAUAAUGUUUGGUUAUGUAAUUCUCCUAUUUAUACUUGUCCUACGACUAAACUGGGUCAUGUGGAAACUACAUUUUAUUUUCUGGGCUGAGUUUUAUUUUCUACGCAUUUCGCCUGGCAUGCAAAUGAUUCUGCCAGCUCACCGCCUAUACCAGCUCGCAUUUUGUCCAGCAUCCUAACGAUACUGGCAGAUUACCACCUUGCAUAAUAGUAAUAAUAAUAUCACCAUACCACAUUCCUCAUUCAACUUCAGUACAUAAAUAUCACCUACUUGCAAUUUUGACACUUCUUUUCAGCCAUACACAAUCUCCAUGAACAGUGACUUCGAAUUCCUCAACAUUAUCUCCAACAAAUAAGCCUCUAUGGGAUCGAUCGGCAUUCUAGUAACAGCCGGUAAAUCUCGCUUAAAUCACACCCUAACAUUUUACAAAUAAAAAAAAAAGGAAAAGACACACUGAGUUACACAAGACUAGCUCGAAACACUACCUGAAAUACAAGCGGUUACAACUGGAAUAAACUUUGAUCAUCGGUUUGCUUAGUCAGAGCUUACCUUGUAUUAAUUAAACAGUAAGAAUAAUUCGUGUUGUGAAAGAGACUUCACAAUACAAAAAGGCAGAUUCUGUAAACAUAUUCUUUAUUUCCCUUCCUUUUCUUAACAAGACUUUUUUAUGAUAAUUGUUUUUCGUUUCAUUCCGGAUAUAAUUUCAAUUGAUUGAAAAUUGCUUUUUUGCUCCCUAUAUUAAGUAGUAAAGAACCCAUUUAACCAUAAAUUACAUUUCUCUUAGUCUAAAUUUCAUGUUCAGUGCAAGAAAAUAUUGCUUCAGUCUUGAACAGGUGUGAUACUACCUGGAGCAGUCAAUAUUUAUUUAUGUCAAACAAGUACGAUAAAUAAAAUCAAUUUUCUCACAUUAAGAAAAUCUCAACAUCCUAUAAAGAUAUUUCAAAAUCUUGUUAAAAGAAGCUGUGGGAAAAUAAGCAGAAAGUAAAGGUUUCCCGUUUCUUUCUUUAUUUUUGUUUAUAAACAGCUUCUAAAAUUAGAUCUGAUUUGAAAACGAGAAAGUUGUAUUCCUAAUUGCUUUAACUUUUUUUUUUCUAAAGAAACCGAAUCUGGUUGCUUGCUUCCACUACAUUGUUGAUUGUUUUGAAUUGCUCUGAACCAUUAAGGAGUGAAUGUGUGUGUGCACGCGCGCUUCUGGGGAAUGGUGGAGGAAGAAGGGAAAACCCUGUGAAAGUAAACUGAUAUAAAUCAACUAACCUGGUCGUCGUGUCUUGAAUUCAGGGGUCCCCCCCCCCCCCAUGAAGAACCAUGUUCAGCAUUCCAAAUGCCAUUCACACAACUAAUGCUAAAGCAACAUGGUGUAGUAAUGAAGCAAAUCUCGGAGCGCUGUAUUCUCUGAAGCCUGUUUGUCAUUUCCCUUUUCUUGUUUACCACACAUCAUUUACAAUGCCACAUUCUCGCCAGUUUAGAUAUAGUUUUAGCAUUAGUCUUCGAAAAAUAUAUGAAGUAUCGAUAUUAAUAUUUGCGACUAUUUACACUCUGAGUUCAAAUUCUACCAAAGUCGACUUUGCUCUUCAUCCUUUCGGGGUCAAUAAAAUAAGUACCUUUUGAGAACUGGAGUUGAUGUAAUCCACUAUCCCCGUCCCACAAAAUUUCAAGUCUUGUGUCUAUGGAAGAGAGAGAGAAAUAUUAGGAAACUUAUGCAAAACUAUUUAGAUGUUUUUGUUGGGUUUUUUUCCCCACUAUAAACAUAAGAGCAAGCUGUUCGAAUAGUUAGAGCGUCGAUAAAAAUGCUUUGCAGUUUUUGUUCCGAGUCUGUACAUUCUGAGUUCAAAUCCCACUGAGGUCAACUUUGCCUUUCACCUCUCUGGAACUGAUAACAUAAAGUAUCUGUCAAGCACUUGGGUGGAUGGUACCGACUAACCCUCCCCAAAAUUCCAGGCCUUGUACCUAAAUCAAAGACCAUAAAAUAUAAAACACAAAUCCUAAAAGAUUUCCACUCUUUGGUCAUAUUAGAUCAUCAUAACCGAGUCUUUUAAGUUACAAUUUAUAUUUCCAAAGACAUAGCAACAGAAGAAUUCUGGACACGUAAAUAAAUAUCAUAUGAAUGCCUAGUUUUCUUCAGCACAAAUGAACCGAUUAAGUUUCACGGCAUAAUAAAGAGAGGGUGUAACCCAAGAAUAUUCCAAUAAAUAACUUCAUAUUACUUAUGACCAUUGAUAUUUCAAAUCUUAACUGCUGAGUUAACUAUGAUUUAGUUAAGUUUAGAUGAAUAUAUUAUAACCGUUGAUGCUCCAGUAAAUCAAAAUAAAUUACUGACAGAACCAAAUUAUUUUCCUGUUGUCUAGACACAUUGUCGCUAAACGACAAGGUUGCUUUACUCUAUUGAGAAAACCACUUUGCUUCUAAAACUCUGUUUAUCACACAUCAUCUCUUUCAUAUGCAUAUUUCAUGUUUUACACCUGCUUACUCAUCUAUUAGCUAUUUCGUUGACGUCAUUGUAACAAACACCAGAGAGAUAGAAACCGGUUCAAGCAUAUCCGUUUAGUUAAAUGUUUUGUUUGACUUUUUUUUAUGUUGUAGUUUUAUUUAAGAUCUGUUGUUUUUGUUGCUGCUAACUGCUCGUGUCCGCCUGUACAAAUGCUAAACAUGUUUUGUAAGUUGAGGUUACCAUCCAUUGUUCAAAUUCUCAGAAAUGGUUCUCAAGAAAAGUAAAGCAACCUUCUUGUCGUUUAGUGGUAGUAUGUCUAGAAUACGGGAAAACAUCUGGCUCUGACCACAUUUCAUUUCGACUUACUCAAGUAUGAAGAACUAUAAUUUAUUCCCUCUUAACUUACUAAAUUAUGAUUCACUAAACAGCUAAAAGUUAAAACAUCGAUGUUUACAAAUAAUAUAAAGUUGAAUGGAGCAUUCUAGAGCUACAGCCUAUUUUCAUUGUCUUUUCAAUAAAAGUAGAUUUGUGCGGAGGAAAACUUGUGGUAUUCGUUAGAGCUUUAGACAUGAUUAUUGCCCAGAGUUCUUAUGUUGCUAUGUCAUAAAUUGGAGCUAACAAGCCGAGAGCUCUACAUAACUUUCCUUUAUGUUCUUCAACUUUUUUAAAGAGUAUGGUUCAACAUAAUUGGCAACGUGUGUCUAUUGGAGUUGUGAUAGAACAAUUCCUCUACUAAUGACAGAGUUUCACACAGAAACGUGAGUCCAAACCUGUCCUCUUAAUGGCAUGUCAAUUCCGGAUAAUUUCUUGAUUCUUGAAAGCCGGUUGCUAUUGUCACAGAGCCUUUGUUUGCCUUCUCUCAAAACAAAGAUUUAUAUCUAUGUACCCAGGCCUAUUCCCCUUUUUUUUAUGAAGAGGUAGCCGCAACAAGAUAUACACUAGGCAUUCCAGUCAUUUCCCAGCUCAAAGAGGCGAGUCCCGUUCUAUGCUCGGGUCAAGGCAUUGAACGCAACCCCCAAUAUCAGCAAUGGGGCCCGACAGCUUGUGCUGGUUCUGUAUCACAUUGAGCAACAUCAAAUUCAAUCAUCCAUCUCCAAACACUCUCCAAGCUUUCCUAUCAUUUAUAAACUCUCUUGCUCUCACACUCCAACACCUCUAACCACCAAAGCUUUCCUCACUCCAUCCAUCCACACAAACCGAGGUCUGUCUACCACUUCUGGUCGCCUCCUUUCCGCUUCUCUCAGCCCCCACGUCUCUGCACCAUAUAACAAUGUCAGCAAUGUUAUAUGGGGCAAAAAAAUUAGCAUCACUUGUUUUCUGUCGAUUUCUCGAUUUCGGUUGAAAAAGAAUUACCAUUGCUUGUUGCUUUCCAUAUAUUGUCAGUUUGUCGGUUUGUCUCAUAAUCUUAUUAACUCAGUUUUUGAAAUAAAAGAAAACAUUUUUUCAGUCUCGGCGGACAGUCGACAAUUCAUUUAAUUUUAUUAUCCUGAAAAAAUGAAAAUUUUUAACCCAUUCAGAUCUAUAAUAUCACUUAUGAACGUUUAAGUACCUGAUGCGACAGUGAGUUUAAAUCAGACAACUGGAAAAUAAUGUGUAUGGCAGAAACACGAAGCUGUCAUAUUCCUCAUCUUCAUCAGGUUUAUGAUCAGAAUAAUACUGAAUGUUGAAGACAUGUUGAACAGCGCCAUCUGUAAUAAAGAUUUCUAAGAAGUCAUAUUCCACAUCACUUGCAGUUUGGUAUAUCAUGUAAAAAGUUAUUAAAGUUACUCUUGAAAUGGUAAUUUUACAAAAUUCUGACCUCAAUGUACGAUUUUGCUUGUGGUUAUGUUACUUUGUUAGGAUCAAUUCACUACACGAGCUACGUUAAACCAUAAAAGCUUUUUUCCUUUUUUUUUUUCUGAAUAAAGAAAUAAUUCAGGCUUGAAAGAGUUAAUUGAUAAAUUAUAAUAAAUGGCAAUUCCUCUAAGUGAUAAAAUAAAAUUUAAAUAAUCCACUAAACAAUGAAAUUACUUGCUUAAUUCUAAACAGUAGAAUAGGAGAGCCCUUUUUGUUUUUUUAACCUCAAAAAAUUUCUUCGAAUUCCCAUGUUUUCAACUUCUUUCAUAUGUAUUAUAUGUGUGUGUGUGUGUGUGUGUGUAUACACACACAUGCUUGUGUAUUUAUUUUGCAAGAUUCCUGAUGCGAAAGCGUGUAUUGAAACAGAUAUUGAUAUAUUUGGGGCACUAUAUAUUUGGUCUUCACUUCAGCUUUAUUAUUAUUAUUAUUAUUAUUAUUAUUAUUAUUAUUAUUAUUUCUCUUUAUCACAGGUUUUUGGAGCUCCUGGAGUCUUGCAUGUGUAGCGGGCUUACGGUAAGAUCCUAUCCGUUUUUUUGUCCUUUUUUUCCAGCUAUUUACUACUUUCCUGGUUAUUCUGGCCAUGCCAAGAUAGCAAACCUUUUGUAGCAGUUUUCCUUGGCAUUCUAUUCCAACUUCCUUUAUCUUGAAAUCUGAUACUUUUCUCAAGGACCCAACAAUAAUUAGCUCUAUCGUCA
Molecule: long non-coding RNA, 12205 nt
Filed under: Octopus vulgaris (common octopus)
Lineage: Eukaryota; Metazoa; Mollusca; Cephalopoda; Octopoda; Octopodidae
Source: RNAcentral